This is a non-coding RNA of Rattus norvegicus (Norway rat), 1457 nucleotides long. The record is from RefSeq and is a predicted model, not a curated record. NCBI's taxonomy places the organism in Eukaryota, Metazoa, Chordata, Mammalia, Rodentia, Muridae.
GUAUGGAAUUUUUUUCCUACUUUGAUUGGGGAAGUGUUUAUAAGAAAAACACCACAAAGCUAUGGAAUAACUAAAUGUGUCUAAACAGUUAGCCUUUACUCAAGUCCAAUAUGUAAAACCUGUCAAUAUGCCUCAUGUAUUUAAUUAUAGUUCAGAGAGUGUCUAUAGAACUGUGAUAGAAGUUUAAUAAGAAUAUUCUGAAGAAUCAUCCCCUCUCUUUUAUUUUAUGAGACAGGGUCUUAUUUUGUAGCCUAGGCUGGCUUCAAACUUACACCAACCCUCCUGGCAUCACCAGACGUUACAGGAAUGAGCUACUACAAUGAAGUAUCCAGAGCUGUCUUCCAGAAGCUAAUGAUGUCGCCAUCCAUGAUUAAGAAAGGAAAUGCAACAGGAGCAGCAGGUCUCCUGCCUCUGAGACACCGCUGGAACCUGAAGGGACCGACCAGAUAAACAGUUCUCUGCACCCAAAUCCCGUGGGAGGGAGAGCUAAACCUUCAGAGAGGCAGACACGCCUGGGAAACCAGAAGAGACUACACUCUGCCCACAUCUCUGACUCCAGAGGAAUACACCAAACGCCAUCUGGGACCCGGUGCACGGGGGCUCCUGGAAAGGGCGGUGCAGGUCCUCCUGGUUGCUGCCCUCGCGGAGAGCUCAUAAGCAACACCCCAGGAGCAAACUUGAGCUUCGGGACUACAGCUUCCUCUUGCUUCAGCCUCCAUUUUAUCCCUGAUGCUGCAACCUAUUUUCCACUCUUCCUCCUUGACUUCAAGCAUGUUCUCAGCUUGGCCCGUGUAGAUUCUACUGGCUUAGACCCACAAGAAUACAGGUACUACCCACACCAAGAAAACCCAAUAAUUAUUAAAAGCAAUCAAGGCUAUAUAAGAGAGGUCAGGCCUCCUGAGGUUAACAGUAGCUGUUAGAGCUACAGAAUGACCAGUCGUGAGAAUAUAAGCGAUUCUAGUUCUGACACACUGUCUGAUCUUGACUCUGAUGAUGAGUCAAUCACUACCACUGAAGAAGAAAGCACUACAAGCCAGACAGAAAGGCUUUGCUCUAAUCGUGUGGAAACAACCGUGCAUGAAAAGUUCCCCAAACUAAUGCAGAAUAUAAAAUCAGUGCUUGAAAAGAAUUCGGAAGGUGAAAAGAAAAGAAAACGCACCAUCUUGGUCUUUUACUACCGGCAGAAGUCAAAAAAGAAACAAAAUCAAGAAAAAGCAAAAGAGAAGGUCCAGAAACAAAAUCAAGAAAAGGCAAAAGAAGAGGUCCCAGAAGAAUCUAAUACUUCAUGUAGUACUGAGUCUUUAUCUGAGUCAUCCACAAACCCAGAAUCCUCUUCAUCUGUCCUUCCAAAACGUAGGCGGAAGUGGUUUUUUCUUUAGAGACCAAAUAUUAUACCCAUACAUAACAAUGUUUGGAAAUUGUUGAUUAAAAUAUAAUAAAAUGCCUUGUGAAAACUA